AUACGGAAGGUCCGGGCGUUAUCCGGAUUUAUUGGGUUUAAAGGGAGCGCAGGCGGAGAUGCAAGCGUGACGUCAAAUUUCGGGGCUCAACCCCGUCUCGCGUCGCGAACUGCGUCCCUUGGUUGCGGGAAGGGGAGGCGGAACUCGUGGGGUAGCGGUGAAAUGCAUAGAUAUCACGAAGAACUCCGAUCGCGAAGGCAGCCUUCCGGCCCGUCAACGACGCUCAUGCUCGAAGGUGCGGGUAUCAAACAGGAUUAGAUACCCUGGUAGUCCGCACAGUAAACGAUGGACACCCGCGGUUUGGCCUGUAUGGCUGAGCCGCCAAGCGAAAGCGAUAAGUAAUCCACCUGGGGAGUACGCCGGCAACGGUGAAACUCAAAUGAAUUGACGGGG
This 393-nucleotide ribosomal RNA is filed under the name uncultured bacterium. Its description in RNAcentral is "partial 16S ribosomal RNA". It matches the Rfam family "Bacterial small subunit ribosomal RNA", at positions 523 to 918 of the family's 1533-position model. The record is from RNAcentral.